CGUACGAUACGAGUUUAUCCUGGCUCAGAACGAACGCUGGCGGCAGGCCUAACACAUGCAAGUCGAGCGCCCCGCAAGGGGAGCGGCGGACGGGUGAGUAACGCGUGGGAACGUGCCUCUUGCUACGGAAUAGCCUCGGGAAACUGGGAGUAAUACCGUAUGUGCCCUACGGGGGAAAGAUUUAUCGGCAAGAGAUCGGCCCGCGUUGGAUUAGGUAGUUGGUGGGGUAAUGGCCUACCAAGCCGACGAUCCAUAGCUGGUUUGAGAGGAUGAUCAGCCACACUGGGACUGAGACACGGCCCAGACUCCUACGGGAGGCAGCAGUGGGGAAUCUUAGACAAUGGGCGCAAGCCUGAUCUAGCCAUGCCGCGUGAGCGAUAAAGGCCUUAGGGUUGUAAAGCUCUUUCAGUGGGGAAGAUAAUGACUGUACCCACAGAAGAAGCCCCGGCUAACUCCGUG
This 459-nucleotide ribosomal RNA is filed under the name uncultured bacterium. Its description in RNAcentral is "bacterial SSU rRNA". It matches the Rfam family "Bacterial small subunit ribosomal RNA", at positions 1 to 507 of the family's 1533-position model. The record is from RNAcentral.